AGCGAACGCUGGCGGUAGGCCUAACACAUGCAAGUCGAACGGCAGCACAGUAAGAGCUUGCUCUUACGGGUGGCGAGUGGCGGACGGGUGAGGAAUACAUCGGAAUCUACUUUUUCGUGGGGGAUAACGUAGGGAAACCUACGCUAAUACCGCAUACGACCUACGGGUGAAAGCAGGGGAUCUUCGGACCUUGCGCGAUUGAAUGAGCCGAUGUCGGAUUAGCUAGUUGGCGGGGUAAAGGCCCACCAAGGCGACGAUCCGUAGCUGGUCUGAGAGGAUGAUCAGCCACACUGGAACUGAGACACGGUCCAGACUCCUACGGGAGGCAGCAGUGGGGAAUAUUGGACAAUGGGCGCAAGCCUGAUCCAGCCAUACCGCGUGGGUGAAGAAGGCCUUCGGGUUGUAAAGCCCUUUUGUUGGGAAAGAAAAGCAGCAGGUUAAUACCCCGCUGUUCUGACGGUACCCAAAGAAUAAGCACCGGCUAACUUCGUG
This 492-nucleotide ribosomal RNA is filed under the name uncultured bacterium. Its description in RNAcentral is "partial 16S ribosomal RNA". It matches the Rfam family "Bacterial small subunit ribosomal RNA", at positions 29 to 507 of the family's 1533-position model. The record is from RNAcentral.